RNAcentral lists this ribosomal RNA (78 nucleotides) under Shigella sonnei. Lineage: Bacteria; Pseudomonadati; Pseudomonadota; Gammaproteobacteria; Enterobacterales; Enterobacteriaceae. The record is from RNAcentral.
UGGCGGCCGUAGCGCGGUGGUCCCACCUGACCCCAUGCCGAACUCAGAAGUGAAACGCCGUAGCGCCGAUGGUAGUGU